CACGGGUGAGUAACACGUAUCCAACCUGCCGUCUACUCUUGGACAGCCUUCUGAAAGGAAGAUUAAUACAAGAUGGCAUCAUGAGUCCGCAUGUUCACAUGAUUAAGGGUAUUCCGGUAGACGAUGGGGAUGCGUUCCAUUAGAUAGUAGGCGGGGUAACGGCCCACCCAGUCUUCGAUGGAUAGGGGUUCUGAGAGGAAGGUCCCCCACAUUGGAACUGAGACACGGUCCAA
Molecule: ribosomal RNA, 233 nt
Filed under: uncultured bacterium
Lineage: Bacteria
Description: partial 16S ribosomal RNA
Rfam family: Bacterial small subunit ribosomal RNA
Source: RNAcentral